AUGUGAAAUAUCUCCUUGCAGAAGGAGCUUUUAAACACAUUUUUUCAUAUCAGUCUUUUUGCUUUUGUUAACAGGCAUGGUUUUUGUGUCAGUCUUUUGUUACCAUGGCCAGUGUGUGCUCCUUGACACAGCCAAGAGCUCUCUGCCCAUGCUCCUGCCCUCUCAUGACUGUUGGAUGUGUUCACAUGUCAGGAUGUGAAUAAAUGAUGUUGGGGAUAAGGGUAAAACUCUGGGUACAGCUGACACAUCACCCUGCAGUAUCUUGGGCUGAACCUAGCCUCUGGUAAAAACUCAGCUCUAGGAGCCUGCUGUGCCUGUACAGUUGAGUAUGUCUUCCUCAGAUGUUUUCUGUCAUUUAUUUUAUUUCCUGCUCUAGUAAUGGCUUGUUUUAGCUUUUGACUCUGCUCCAGCACUGCUGAUCACCUGCAAACAUUAAAGAGCUGCAGCAAAACCCCUGCAUGGCACUAGGGUGAAUGGGGUCCUCCCAUCAAGGAGCUGAGCUUGGCUCCUCUCCUGCUCCUUAUCCAUUCCAGCUUUAAAGCAGGGACCUCUCCUUUUCCCAGGGGAGAAAGACAGCCUGCUCCUCAGAUGUGCAGCUUUCCGAGAUGAAGGCAGUGGGAAUUUGAGACACAGCAAACUUCCUUCUCUUCUAGCAUGCUUCCAAAUGAGUAGUUGGCUUGAGCUGAGUAGUAGUUGUGAGAUGGAGUGUGCCUACUCAAGACUUUGGACCAUGCUGCCUUGUGCUGUUUGUGAAAGCUUCUAAAAUCAAAAUGAAGCACUGAAACGUUAUUUCACAAAGCAGAACAUCAUCUCAUUUCACUUUGGGAGGUUUUGUCCGAGACACUUACUGUCCUCUGGGUAAUUCCUUGGGGCAAAACCUGAAUCACAGAAUCCCAAGGGUGUAGCCUUUACAACAUAUGAACUUCAUUUUAAGAUCUUCAGAUCUGUGUGUGUUUAAGUGAUGUUAGACAUGUUUCUUUCUACUAGAAAGUAAUUUACAAGGAGCUACCAUCUGGUGCUAUCUGGGGCACCACUUGUUUCCGGACUUAAUCUAAGGGAAAUGUGGUGUCUAAGCUACUCUUUUGCAGCAUCGUUUCCUGGCUCUUGGUUCAACAGUGGUAAUACCAAAUGGGUUGUCUUAAGAACCAAGGAGGACUCCUGCUGCUCUGCCCAAUCACUUCCCUCCAGGCAGCCUGGCAGAACUGCUGGGGGUAUUCAGAAGCUCUUGGUUUAGAUUUUAGUUUCUUAAUGGCAGUGUAGGGUUUGGGGGUGGGCGAUGCAAAGGUGGGAGGCUCCAGCCCUCACAUUUGGAUAUUCUUGUUAUGUAUAUAACAUGCAAACAAUUUCUUUCAAAGCAAACUACUGUCAUUUAGAAGCAAUGGGGCUUUUGCUUGUGUGCAAACAAUUAAGGAGGGGACCCUGUUUCUUUUCAGUCUCAGUGCUUCUAUAUGCCAUAUGCUGCCUCCAACCUUAUGGAGAUUUGAUGAUUUAUUUUCAAGGAGUGGUGUGUUUAAGCGUGCAGGUUAUCAAAGAUAUGUUACAUGUAUGAAAAUAUAUCGUCUUCUAAGCUGCCCUGGUUCUCACUAAUGGGCAGUAAGUAAAUGCACUUUCAGUAGAGCCUGUGGUUUGACAAAAUUAUCCAGUAGAACAAAGAUCAGCUUUCGGCUGGCUUGGGGUUUGAAAACAAACUGUAAAAUGGUGCAUAAAUUGGUACCAUGUGUAGCAUUUCCUGAAUCGGAUACAGCUUAUAAUGGCAACAGCUUUGGUAAGCUAGGAAAUAAGCAGAACUUAGCGUUUGGAUUCUGUCACUUGUUUCUGAUAGCUCUUUUGUAAAUAUUUGAAUAAGCAAGAAUACAAUGGGAUGAGCUUUAAGGUCCCUUCCAACCCAAACCAUUCUGUGAUUCCAUGAUUAUGCUUUCUAGUUAAGCCCAUUUCAUGUAAUGCUCAGCUGCAGAAUAAGCUUCAGCAGUGACCUGGUUUAGAAGACAAACACUUAAAAGUCAGUUCCAGUAAAUAUAGUUGUUGUCACCUGCUUCAGUAAGUACAGCUACACGGAGAAUUCCAUCCCAAGCAGUCCUAGAGGCUGAAGGGACUAAUGAGAACAACCAGAGCAGUCUGUGUAAUGCUUACUCUGCUCAGCAGCUUAUGAAACAGGAGUAAACGGGUGACCUGGCAUGAACCGUUCCCUGAGACAGCCUGUAAAAGCUCAUCUCGCUUCAUUACUGCUGACCUCUUUGUAAGUGAAAUGACUGCCUACAACUAAGAACUCUGCAGCAGCACUGCAAACCAAAGAACUAGUUAACCUGAUGUCACCCCUCGUAGAUACUCACUAGGAUUUUAAACAAGCACCUGCCUUAAAAGAAUAAUCAUCAUGUGAUUAAAUUAUUUAUACUUGAAGCCAACUUGCAGAUGCUUUCAUCUGCUAAAAAAUACAUGACCUCUGAGGGCUUCAGAGACUGAAAGUACAGAUUGCAUGUCUGAAGAUGUUUUGCAAAUCUUAAUCACAAUAAAAGAGAUGGUAAUAAACCAGCAUCCUUUUUAUUUCAAAAGACAUCCAGUUGCAAGUUGAAUACUGCUGUUGCCCAGUAGAGUCUCAUAGUCAGGGGCAGAUCAGGUUUUCCUGUGUUUAGAAGCAGAGUUGAGGCUCUUUGAAGCUGUAAGUAUCUCUUUUGUAAUGCUUUAGUCACACUGAGCUCAGGAGGCAUAAGGAUUCACAGCAGGUUUUUUGCUGCUGUUCUGAGCCUGGCUCUGGUAGACUUCAAGUGAACAGACACCUACCCCCUUAAUGCAGACCUCCACAUCCAGCUUUUGUCCCCCAAGACCGUGUCCAAGUUUGAAGUGUUUUUUCUUCAGGAGGAAGGAGAUUGUCUUGCAAAGUCCACUGGAGUAUGCAGUUGAUAAGUCAUCUCCUGGUGCUUGUUCCCUACCCUGCUGCUCUGUAUCCAGUUAGUUCCACAAGCCACUGGGAGAUGGGAUAUACAAGCCUAAACAGAUUCUGUUGUACAACAGUUUAACAUCAAAGGUGAUAUAAGAAGAGCUAUAUUUUCCAGGAGAAAUCUACUCUAACAGCUUGUUCACUUGAGUGACCUGAAAAAUUAUGGUCCAAUAAAGAGGGAAAUAAAAUGUGAAACAACCUGGUACAUCUGUCCUCCACCUCCCUCUGACUGCUUUCACAUGUUUCAGUGCAAGACAAAUAUGAAAGCUACAUUCAAAAUUAGGCCAAAUCAAGUAUAAAGACAGUAAACAUCAAUAGAGCUGGGGCAUCUGUUUGCAUCUGCCUUUAGGGUGGUAAGGACAAGUCAAAAAAGUGAGAGGAUUAGCCACAAUUACAGUUCUUCUUAUUUUAUGUCUUGCUUAAAAAACCAGAAAGAUGCAAAUCUGGCAAUGAAAAAUAUCUAAUAUUCAUAGCUAAAUUAAAAGUAACUAUCCUUUGGACAGAUUAUGUAUUUGGGAAAACACAAAGCAACUACUUCAGACACCUAGCUUAGGUAGAACGUUUCCUGUAGAGAAGAGAGGCGGCUGCCUCCAGAGAGCCUCUCCAGGCUAAAUCAUGUGUACUGAUGGGCAAAUAUUCCAAUGCAAGGUAACAAAGCUGGUACAGUCAAUAAUGUUAUCAAAAUUACUGCCAGUGGUAAGGCACAGAUAAAAUAAUUCCAUGCUUGGAAGGGCUCUGCCUACAUCACGUCUGUUCUCCAAAAGAAAGGUUUCUAAGGCUUUCAGCACAGCUAUUUGGCCAGUCUGAUUCACUACACUACAGCACCAGUACUGCGAUAGCACAGGUGUGUAUGAGUUCAUACAUACUCCUUCAGCAGUUUGCUGGUUUGUAAAAAUUAAUAUGGAAAAUUGUCCCGAGUACCUCCUUAAGAACUUGUUCUGGGCUGUGUUUAACUUAGUCCAACACACACCAUUAAAACCAUUGCUUACUAGAUACUGGUUAAAUACAUGUCAACUUGGAAAUGAAGCAUCAAAAGAGGAAUUAAAAAAUAAAAAAGAAUUUCUGUUCCAUUAUUAAUCACAAGUUUCUGAGAUUUGUUUUUGGUUAGCAAUUUUUACAGAAGGUGUAAAUGCAGAUACAGUGCCCCAACAGGCCUCGAGACCCAACAAAAGAGAAAUGUGAUCAAUAAACAUUGUAAAUGAGAUGAGACACAUGGAGGUCAAGCUUCUGUUACUAUGUGCAAGGGAGCGUUUAAAAAUUAACAGCAAGGAAAAGUAUUAGUACAAGUCUUCAUGUACAAGUUAGCAUGAUCUAGAAAACUAGGAGUUUUGUGAUUGCAGAUGUGAUACUUCGGAAAUAUCUGAAAUGCUUUUUGUUAUAGAAAUCUCUGUAACUUACACCAUUAUACAAUAGCAUAUUUAGAAAAAGUGCCAGUCCCUGAGCCAGCAGGUAAGAACCUAAAAGAUAUUUAUAUCUCUCUAAAAAUAUUUAAAAAUAAAAAUUAA
Molecule: long non-coding RNA, 4440 nt
Organism: Pezoporus flaviventris
Lineage: Eukaryota; Metazoa; Chordata; Aves; Psittaciformes; Psittacidae
Exons: 2
Source: RefSeq, a predicted model, not a curated record